Coregonus clupeaformis (lake whitefish) is the source of this 461-nucleotide long non-coding RNA. RefSeq lists it as uncharacterized. The record is from RefSeq and is a predicted model, not a curated record. Lineage: Eukaryota; Metazoa; Chordata; Actinopteri; Salmoniformes; Salmonidae. The transcript has 3 exons.
GGGACUUUGGACGAGUUGGGGGAGCGCCCUGUAAUACCAAAGAAAAUGCCAGUUACCAACAUUGCAGACAACACCGAGGAACAAAUGGGCUUGAUUGAGAUCAACCCCAAGAUACACUUCACAAUAAGAAAUGAACCCAUUAGAAAUGAACUCAUGAGAAAUGACAAGGAGCUCAUGGUAUUUCAGGUUGAGUUGGAUCUUGGGAUUACCUGAAUCAAUCAGACCUGUCGUAUUCUCUGGGUAAUGACGUCCUGAGUUGCUGGCUUCCACUUUCUCUGAUUGUUCUUCACUCCUGUCCAAUACAAAUGACUGUGGAUGUGGAUGGAUUGUGUGUCUUCUGUAUAGAAGAUGCUCACACAGUGUGGAUCCCAUAGCCUGGUCUGUGAUGAUGGUUAUAUGGUGGCAAGACAAUGGGUUACAUAUGUGUGUCCCUUAAGGCAAUAAACCUCUCUACAUUCUCA